AUGGUGCCGCUGCUUGUUGUGCAAUGCCGACCCACAUGAGCGAGAAACGACGCCUUGACUGCUGGCGAACUG
RNAcentral lists this small nucleolar RNA (72 nucleotides) under Trypanosoma cruzi. RNAcentral's name for it is "C/D small nucleolar RNA (snoRNA), TB8C3C3". Lineage: Eukaryota; Euglenozoa; Kinetoplastea; Trypanosomatida; Trypanosomatidae. The record is from RNAcentral.